Chinchilla lanigera (long-tailed chinchilla) is the source of this 349-nucleotide long non-coding RNA. RefSeq lists it as uncharacterized. Lineage: Eukaryota; Metazoa; Chordata; Mammalia; Rodentia; Chinchillidae. The transcript is spliced from 3 exons. The record is from RefSeq and is a predicted model, not a curated record.
CGUCCAUCCCCAAGGACUCCACACCUAGCCUCUUUCUCGAGUACUUGCGCUCCUUGAGGAAGAGGUAGAGGGGGAAGCGGCCCUCCCAAAACUCAGACGUUGCUCCUGUCACAGGGAUCCAGAGAGACACUGCUCAAGAACAGGGCCUGGGGAACCACACUGAAGGAGCCUCAGCGGUACCCGACUCAGAAGAUGCAACCCUGGGCCUUAACCCUGAACCAGAGGCUGACACACGAUGAGACUUUGGAGGUAGAAUGCAGGAAGGUGAAAAGAGAGAAAGAGCAACAAUGUGAUUGGCAUUGAGGAUCUUCUCCUGUCUUCUGAGGACAGCAAGCCACAGUCAACCAAG